AGAGCGCAGCAGCGGCAGUUGGAGAGCGGCUGAGGCCUUGGUACCUGGGGGUGUCGGUAGUCAAAACUGCUCUGGCACAGUCCUGGGAAUCCUGCUGUAGGUGACCCUGCUGCGAGCAGGUUGGACUCGACAAUUUCCAGAGGUGCCUUCCAGCCUCAGCUGUUGUGUGGUUCUAAGUGUACAUUAGUGCCGUGCCAGUCUGCAUGCUUUCAUGUUAACUAACUUCUUACAAUAUAUCCAAAACUUUGGUCUAGACACAGAUAGAACUUAAAAGUGCAUUACUGUGUACUUGGUGUUUUUGUUGUACCUGUGAAAGCAUGUCACAGUGCUGUAUAAUGCUGCAAGGCUGGGUAGCCAGCUUAGUCAACUCACUGAUCUAGCUGAAAACUAACUAGGAGAAAAAAUAUAUAUGUAUUUUUAGCCAGGUCUGUGAGUUCAUACAGUGGGCACAUAAGAUGCCGUGGAUGUGGAAUCACAAAAUAUAGCAGUGGUCUAGUCCCAAGCCUGCCAACCAGUUUUUGAUAUGGGAUUGAGAAAAUGUCAUAGCUGAACUAGUGAAGUUUUAUCUUGACUAGGUAUUGCAAAUUCUUGAACAACUGGUAGAAGGUUGCCUCUUUUGAAUGGUUGUAGGCAGGACUGGUAGUUUUCUUUUGUAAGUAUUUUAAAGAAUUUUCCCUUGCAUCUUCAUCAUACUGAUUUUUUUUUUCAUGUUUAAACUCAGUCAAAUGAAUUCUGAAAAUCAUGAAUGUUCUUCCUGUCCAGAACCCCUAAUUUCCUUAUCUCCAUUCAUGUCACUUGUGUGGCAUCAUAUUUUAAGAUAAAGUGCUCUGAAUAUGCC
RNA transcript from Dromaius novaehollandiae (emu), 838 nucleotides. It is a transcript of the gene named ATP synthase membrane subunit k, with no coding region annotated. The record is from RefSeq and is a predicted model, not a curated record. The transcript is spliced from 2 exons. Lineage: Eukaryota; Metazoa; Chordata; Aves; Casuariiformes; Dromaiidae.